GCGACAUCAGUCAAGCGAGACUA
RNAcentral lists this ribosomal RNA (23 nucleotides) under Heterostelium candidum. Its description in RNAcentral is "partial 26S ribosomal RNA". The record is from RNAcentral. Lineage: Eukaryota; Evosea; Eumycetozoa; Acytosteliales; Acytosteliaceae.